This 435-nucleotide long non-coding RNA is filed under the name Carica papaya (papaya). RNAcentral describes it as "long non-coding RNA (CPAP_LNC002919)". Lineage: Eukaryota; Viridiplantae; Streptophyta; Magnoliopsida; Brassicales; Caricaceae. The record is from RNAcentral.
CAAGACGAAGAAGAGAGAAGAGCGGUCAAGUUUUGUGGAGAAUUGAGGUGUCGGGUUGCCGAUGAGCUUUUCACUUCUCCUUCCUUUGCUAUUUUGAUUUAAUUCCUCAUUCACACCAUGUAUGUGUUUAUACGUAGAUUUAGAAAAGGUUUAAAGCUGGGAGAGAGGGAAACUUGAAUGCCAAGAGGAGCUCCAACCCCCCUUUCCAUUUAAAUUCAGGUAAAGUGCAAGUUGCUAUUGGAAGUCCUUAAAAAUUAAAUCUAACUAGUGGGUUUAUUUUAAUAAGAAAUUUUAUGCAGGAUUCAACCUGACGGAGACUAUUCACUUGUUUUUAUUUUUUUUUAAAAUUCUAUUUUUCUAGCUUCAAAUUUUUUUUUUGUUGAUGGAUGAAAACGAAGAAGGGAGGUGAGGGUACGUGUAAGGAAAGGUUUGAAG